This is a non-coding RNA of Phascolarctos cinereus (koala), 626 nucleotides long. NCBI's taxonomy places the organism in Eukaryota, Metazoa, Chordata, Mammalia, Diprotodontia, Phascolarctidae. The record is from RefSeq and is a predicted model, not a curated record.
CCUCUCUUGCCCUACCUUGCUUUCAUCUUCUUUAUAUGUCUUUUUAAAAUAUAUUUUGGUUGGUAAGUUCCUUAUGUAUCUGUGUUGGCCUCUUUGGACAGCUCCUCGUUACCUAGUGCCUUAAGGUUUGCAAAGAGCUUUAUAGAUUAUUUCUUUCGAUCUACAACCCUGGGAGAAAUCACGUGCUGGCAGCCUCUAAAUCUGACUCCUUUGAAACCUGAGUCUUUCUUAUGGACAGUGACUGCAACCUUCAAUUUCCUUGUAUAAAAGCGACCUCUGCCUAAAUCCUUUAACGAUUUAGAAAUGUCACCCAACUCUCUGCUGGACCAUAAGCUUCAUCUCCUGACUUCAGGCAUUUUCACUCGUGGGCCCCUAUACCUGGAACUCUCCCCUUCUUCGUUUCUGACUGCUAGUCUCCUUGGCUUCCUUCAAGUCUCAGCUAAAGUCCCAUCUUCUUCAAGAAACUUUUACCAGAAUACUAGUGCCUUCCCUCUGCUGCAGGAUGCCUAGGUCUGAACAGGCAGUUCUCAGGAGAAAAAGUCCAAGCUAUCUGUAGCCAUAAGAAAGAAUGCUCCAAAUCAAGAAUAAUUAGAGAAUGAAAAUGAAAGCAACCCUGAAGUUCCACC